UUUCUCAAACAUUCUCACUGUGAUCUGCUCGGUGCGGGCAGAGGCUGGAACAGGAGGACUUUCUGAUUCACUCGGGUUGUGCCAGCCCUGCGGCAGACCGGGACGGUCAAGGGAAGGUUUAUUCCCUUUCUCUUUCCUCUCCUCGUGAGAGGCCCUGAUCUCGGCCAGGGGGAGCCCCGAGCACCCCGCAUGGGCCGGGCCCCGCCGCCCGCCCUCGGCUCCGGGGCAACCGCGCUGUUGUCCCGAGCCGGGGCCGCGGCGCUGGGAGAGGUGGGAGCGACGGGAAAAGGCGGUGUUGUCCCGGCCCUCCGGAGCUGAGCUUUGUGUCCUUAGGUGCAUCCACCACCGCCUGGUUUGGUGCGUGUUUAGGACUUAGCACUGGUUUAGGAUAUAGCUUUGGCUUUCUGCUCCGCUGUAGAAAUGCAGUGGUGAGUUUGUCCAUCGUGUUUCUGGGGGAACCCGACCGCCAGUCUUCGGAAUAGCCCUGCUCAGGCGACUAAGCCGCUAUAGAAGGUUGGUCUUUGAGUUGAACCUUAGCCCAGUCGCAAAAUACAAAUUUGUUGGGGGUUUUUUUUCUUCCUUUUUCUUUUUUUUUUUCUUUCUUUUUUUUCUCCCUUAUGGCAGGCUCUGUAUGUACAUGCUUUCCCUUGAGCUUUAUCCUCAUUUUAAGCCUUAUGUACAUUCAACUUAAUAGAUGCAUGUGUUAAACUCCUUUCUGGACAGGAUUGUAUGCUAGAAUUUUAGUUUUGUUAUGGUUUUAGAUGGAGCACUCAGAUGAAGCAACUUCCAAUAAACGGACUUUGAGAACUUUGUUUCGUCCAGCUACUUUACCUCUACCAGUCAUAUCCAAAACUUCACCAUCACAGAGGAAACUAUUGACAUACCACAGAGACAAGGCGCAGCAAGAGAUGAUUAAUCAGUUACUAAUUGAUCGAGCUCUCAAAGUCUAUUACAUAACCAUGGAUGAAACAGAUCAGAGAGAUGCUGCACCUUCUAUCACAGAACUGCCUUCCACUAGGAAGAAAGUGAGAAAGUAUUUCUUUAUUAAGUCUUGCAUAUUUAGUUCUUUGUUUAUUUGGACAUUUAUUUUCCUUCUUAGAAUUUAUUUCAAUAUAAUUGUUUUGCUCCUCAGUAAUUCAUAAAUGUAUUUAUAUAUUCAGG
Molecule: long non-coding RNA, 1161 nt
Filed under: Cyanistes caeruleus (blue tit)
Lineage: Eukaryota; Metazoa; Chordata; Aves; Passeriformes; Paridae
Description: lncRNA (ENSCCEG00000013769.1)
Source: RNAcentral